CCUACGGGAGGCUGCAGUGGGGAAUAUUGGACAAUGGGGGGAACCCUGAUCCAGCCAUGCCGCGUGUGUGAAGAAGGCCCUCGGGUUGUAAAGCACUUUCAGUGAGGAAGAACGCCUGGUGGUUAAUACCCAUCAGGAAAGACAUCACUCACAGAAGAAGCACCGGCUAACUCCGUGCCAGCAGCCGCGGUAAUACGGAGGGUGCGAGCGUUAAUCGGAAUUACUGGGCGUAAAGCGCGCGUAGGUGGCUUGAUAAGCCGGUUGUGAAAGCCCCGAGCUCAACCUGGGAACGGCAUCCGGAACUGUCAAGCUAGAGUGCAGGAGAGGAAGGUAGAAUUCCCGGUGUAGCGGUGAAAUGCGUAGAGAUCGGGAGGAAUACCAGUGGCGAAGGCGGCCUUCUGGACUGACACUGACACUGAGGUGCGAAAGCGUGGGUAGCAAACAGGAUUAGAUACCCCUGUAGUC
RNAcentral lists this ribosomal RNA (465 nucleotides) under Vreelandella stevensii. RNAcentral describes it as "partial 16S ribosomal RNA". It matches the Rfam family "Bacterial small subunit ribosomal RNA", at positions 338 to 795 of the family's 1533-position model. The record is from RNAcentral. Lineage: Bacteria; Pseudomonadati; Pseudomonadota; Gammaproteobacteria; Oceanospirillales; Halomonadaceae.